RNAcentral lists this ribosomal RNA (258 nucleotides) under uncultured bacterium. Its description in RNAcentral is "partial 16S ribosomal RNA". It matches the Rfam family "Bacterial small subunit ribosomal RNA", at positions 524 to 778 of the family's 1533-position model. The record is from RNAcentral.
UACGGGGGGGAGCAAGCGUUGUUCGGAUUUACUGGGCGUAAAGGGCGCGUAGGCGGGAUGGCAAGUCAGUCGUGAAAUCUCUCGGCUCAACCGAGAAACGUCGGCUGAUACUGCCGUUCUUGAGGGAUGCAGAGGAGACUGGAAUUCCCGGUGUAGCGGUGAAAUGUGUAGAGAUCGGGAGGAACACCGGUGGCGAAGGCGGGGUCUCUGGGCAUCUCCUGACGCUGAGGCGCGAAAGCGUGGGGGAGCAAAACGGGG